UACAUGGAUGAGAAGUGGCUAUCUGCAAAAGAAGAAAAGUAGCAGCAGAAGGCAAGGGACUUUCAGCUCAUCAUCUUUGUGCACCAUCCUUCUAGGAUAAGGAGUGGCAGACUCUCAAUAUGAUAAACAUUAAGAUUCACUGAAUAGUUACUGAUUACAAAAGGCGACUAACUUGACUGGCAGUGGAACACCAGAAUGAACUAAAAUUAUACAAGGACUUAAUUAAUAUAUAUAUUGGAACAUGGAUGAAGCUGGAAACCAUUAUUCUCAGCAAACUAUCACAAGGACAAAAAACCAAACACCGCAUGUUCUCACUCAUAGGUGGGAAUUGAACAACGAGAAUGCAUGGAUACAGAAAGG
This is a long non-coding RNA of Gorilla gorilla gorilla (western lowland gorilla), 360 nucleotides long. RefSeq lists it as uncharacterized. Lineage: Eukaryota; Metazoa; Chordata; Mammalia; Primates; Hominidae. The transcript is spliced from 3 exons. The record is from RefSeq and is a predicted model, not a curated record.